Molecule: unclassified non-coding RNA, 271 nt
Filed under: Hevea brasiliensis (rubber tree)
Lineage: Eukaryota; Viridiplantae; Streptophyta; Magnoliopsida; Malpighiales; Euphorbiaceae
Source: RNAcentral
UCCACAGCUACAGCAGCAGCAGCAGCAACAAAUGGUUGGGACUGGAAUGGGCAAGCAUAUGUUCAAGGUCCAGGCCGGUCACAAUUAGUUUCUCAGGGACAAGUUUCAUCACAAGGGCCAACAAACAUGGCUGGUGGCGGCUUUAUGAAUUGACAACUACUUCAAUUGAGUGGGAGCAGUAUAUAAUGAGUUGUAUAUGUAUAAUAAAGAAACUACUUCAGCAAUUAUGUCGACCUGUUGGGUCUCGUAGACUAGUAAUUUUAUCAACAGG